GGAAUCUGAUACAGGGCUCGAAUAAAAGGAUCUUGGCGGAAGUCCCUCAGGGAGAUUGGAGAUUCCCAGUUUAGUGGGAGUCAAGGCAUGGGUAAGGACUCAUCAGGUCUGUGUCUUGGGCUUGGAGGGGCACCCCAGGCCCGAGAUGGAGCGUUGCGCGUCCCAGCCUGCGCCUCGAGUGCCAAGGAGACUCCUAGGACCAGACUGUGUUCCCACCUUGACUCACCGCGGCUCUGCACCGGUUGGGUAUUCUCACCAUGGCAGGUGUGGACUCUGAGGCUCAGAAAGCUUAUGUGGCUUCCACUCCUCCGAUCCAGUCUCCACUCAGCAGCCAAAGUGAUCUUUUAAAAUGUAUCUCAUCUUUUUCUCUGUGUAUUACUCUUAAGGAAAAAAAUGUUUUGUUUUGUUUUUAAAGUAUGCUGCUAAGUCACUCCUCUGUAUGAAACUGUCUCUUGGUUUUCCAUUGUGUUUAGAAUAAUAUCUGAGCUCUUUUUGACGAAGGCCUACAAAGCUGUGAAUGAUCUGUUCCCCGCCUACAUCUUCAAUCUCCUCAAGCCCCCUCUGCCCCUCUUUCACCUACCCAGCCACACAGGCCAAACUCAUUGUCACCUCGGGGCCUUUGCACAUGCUGUUCCCUGUGCCUGGAAAGCACUUAACCUUGCUCUUUCACAACUGGGUCCUUUCAUCAUCUGCAUCCCUGCUGGAAAGUCAGGUGUCAGAGAUGCCAUCCGUGAUGAUGCAAUCUAAAGUCAGUAUCACAUUACCCGGCACUUAUCCCAGGGUAACUUAUGUUACACUGUUUUAUUCACCAGCGUGUCCACGGUGCCCAGAACAGUGUUUGGCCCUGAGUAGGUGCUCGUUAAAUAUUUGUGGAUGAAAUGAAUGAAUGCUUUGCCCAAAUCCCCAGUGCUUACAGGUGGUAGAACUGGGGUUGGAACCCAAGCUCCCCUGGUUCCAGGGAUGCUCGUCCCCCACCCACCACACUUCAUUGUAUGACCUCAUAGGCAGAGUUGACUCUUUCCUCCUCGGUUUGUGACGCGUCACCACUGUAAACAAGGCCCCUCUCGGUGUGCUCAGGCAGCUUCCUUGAAUCCUGUCUGGUUCUCUUCUAUACAUGGCUUGGCUCCUAUAUGGAUGCUUUAAAUUUACAAACAUGCUGUCGUGUAUAAGACUCAUCCUGUUUACGGUUUUACACUCAACUCUAAUGUUUUCCACAUGCAUCUCAUUUGUUACUUCUGCUAGUUGCAUGUAAUACGCCACGCUGAGCAUCCAGUACUCUUAGUAUCCCCCACACCCUUCAGUGAUGCACCCCUUAGCUUGGCCUCAGUGCCCCUGUCACAUACAUCACUGCUACGAACACCUGUCUUCAACUGUCUCCUUAUGGGCUGUGGGAGAAUUCUCCUCGAAGUAGGACUUCCAGGCCACAGGGUACACGCACCCUCGGCUUCCCAAAGCACCGACGGUGCUCUCCUGGGUGGCUGUUGGAACUUCCACACUUACCGGGAGGGUUCUGGUUUUCCGUUAGCACUUGGCUUUCCAGUUUUCUGAUGCUUGCUAAUCUGACGAAUCUGAAGUGGUUCCUAACUUCCAUCUGGGUUCUCUUGAUGACUAGGGAAUUUGAAUAGCUCUUCAUGCACUUGGCAGUCAUGGUGGUUCCCUCUUCUGUGAAUUGUCUCUUUGGGGAGCCUUUGUCUAUCUUUUCUAUUGGGUUUCUAGCCUUCUUUCUACUGAUUUGCAUGUCUACACACAGCUAAGUAUCAGUGCUUUGGUGUUGCACAUAUCUCUUCUCUUUGUCUCCUUACUUUGUCCGAGUUUCCCUUCGUUAACAAUGCUCGGAGUCCUGGGGUGGAGUGCAGGCUUGGGCCCACGUCCCACGGGGGCGUUCUCCGCGAGCGCCGCCUUGGCUCCCGCCGGACCCCCCACCGAUGGAUGAUGGGGGCUCUGGAUGCCAGCACUGCCCUGGAGUGGCUCCGGGAUGGGCCUGCUACUUCCUCUCCCACACCCCAGCACUCUCGCUCAAAGACCUGCAGGGGACACCCCAAGAACCCUCCCCCGGACUCAGAGCCCCUCCUACAAGUAUGAGAAGAAAAGAAAGAAAAGUGAAAGAGAGAAAAAAGAGAGAGAGAAAUACCACUGGCCCAGGGUAGAGAUGCCCACGGACAGGUUCCUGGCGGACCCAGAGUGAGGACGGCUGCUCAGAACCCGUGUCUCCAGUCGCACUGGAAACGCCCCGGCAGCAACACGCAGGGGGAAGACUGUGGCAGCGACCACAGCAAACCCUUGCCUCCUACGGACACUGGCACAAACAGGCAAAUCCCCCAAGGAUGGAUUGGGUCCACGGGAUGCGGACUAGGUUAUAGGAAAGUGGUGCUAAAUAUCUCACUGUGUUCCCAGCUUCCAUUGAGGGCAGGACCAGACCAGAAACUGUGUAAACUUCCGAGAACGUGGCCUUGCUUGGUGUGUUCACGAGUCAUUUGACCCAUGAUAUACAUGGGACUAAACCCAUGACUCAUGAUUUUCUACAGCAUAUCACUAAUCAGCAACAUAAAGAACAAGAGUUUUCAGGCCACUUUCA
Long non-coding RNA from Herpailurus yagouaroundi (jaguarundi), 2575 nucleotides. RefSeq lists it as uncharacterized. Lineage: Eukaryota; Metazoa; Chordata; Mammalia; Carnivora; Felidae. The record is from RefSeq and is a predicted model, not a curated record. The transcript has 3 exons.